RNAcentral lists this ribosomal RNA (582 nucleotides) under uncultured bacterium. RNAcentral describes it as "partial 16S ribosomal RNA". It matches the Rfam family "Bacterial small subunit ribosomal RNA", at positions 355 to 935 of the family's 1533-position model. The record is from RNAcentral.
UGGGGAAUUUUGGACAAUGGGCGAAAGCCUGAUCCAGCAAUGCCGCGUGUGUGAAGAAGGCCUUCGGGUUGUAAAGCACUUUUGUCCGGAAAGAAAUCCUUGGCUCUAAUACAGUCGGGGGAUGACGGUACCGGAAGAAUAAGCACCGGCUAACUACGUGCCAGCAGCCGCGGCAAUACGUAGGGUGCAAGCGUUAAUCGGAAUUACUGGGCGUAAAGCGUGCGCAGGCGGUUUGCUAAGACCGAUGUGAAAUCCCCGGGCUCAACCUGGGAACUGCAUUGGUGACUGGCAGGCUAGAGUAUGGCAGAGGGGGGUAGAAUUCCACGUGUAGCAGUGAAAUGCGUAGAGAUGUGGAGGAAUACCGAUGGCGAAGGCAGCCCCCUGGGCCAAUACUGACGCUCAUGCACGAAAGCGUGGGGAGCAAACAGGAUUAGAUACCCUGGUAGUCCACGCCCUAAACGAUGUCAACUAGUUGUUGGGGAUUCAUUCCUUAGUAACGUAGCUAACGCGUGAAGUUGACCGCCUGGGGGAGUACGGUCGCAAGAUUAAAACUCAAAUGAAUUGACGGGGUCAUAGCUGUUU